AUCAGUUCUAGUUAUAAUUAACUAAUACCAACUUCUUUUUACUAAUCAAAAACCAAUACAAACUUAAAUAACUAACUUCAUCAAAAAAUCAAGUCUCUAAGCAACGGAUGUCUUGGCUCCUCACACGAUGAAGAACGUGGCAUAAUGUGUUAAGUAACCGGAGUUGCAAACAUCAUGACAGGUUAAUCUUUGAAUGCAAAUUGCGCUUACCCGGCUUCGGCCGAGGAGCAUGCGUGUAACAGUACAACAUAAUUUAUAAUAAUUCUUAUUCUACGCGAAUAAGCAAAUAAAUUAUAAGACAAACAAUACGUUGUCUGCUAUACGCA
RNAcentral lists this unclassified non-coding RNA (326 nucleotides) under Trichomonas gallinae. Its description in RNAcentral is "sequence contains ITS1, 5.8S rRNA gene, ITS2". The stretch from base 93 to 247 matches the Rfam family "5.8S ribosomal RNA". The record is from RNAcentral. Lineage: Eukaryota; Parabasalia; Trichomonadida; Trichomonadidae.